This 345-nucleotide ribosomal RNA is filed under the name uncultured Chlorophyta. Its description in RNAcentral is "SSU rRNA". It matches the Rfam family "Eukaryotic small subunit ribosomal RNA", at positions 592 to 944 of the family's 1831-position model. Lineage: Eukaryota; Viridiplantae; Chlorophyta. The record is from RNAcentral.
CAAUAGCGUAUAUUUAAGUUGUUGCAGUUAAAAAGCUCGUAGUUGGAUUUCGGGUGGGUUGUAGCGGUCAGCCUUUGGUUAGUACUGCUAUGGCCUACCUUUCUGCCGGGGACGAGCUCCUGGGCUUAACUGUCCGGGACUCGGAAUCGGCGAGGUUACUUUGAGUAAAUUAGAGUGUUCAAAGCAAGCCUACGCUCUGAAUACAUUAGCAUGGAAUAACACGAUAGGACUCUGGCUUAUCUUGUUGGUCUGUAAGACCGGAGUAAUGAUUAAGAGGGACAGUCGGGGGCAUUCGUAUUUCAUUGUCAGAGGUGAAAUUCUUGGAUUUAUGAAAGACGAACUUCU